Molecule: long non-coding RNA, 544 nt
Organism: Carassius carassius (crucian carp)
Lineage: Eukaryota; Metazoa; Chordata; Actinopteri; Cypriniformes; Cyprinidae
Exons: 2
Source: RefSeq, a predicted model, not a curated record
AACUGAUUCUUUUCUGAACUGAUUCUGAACUGAUUCUGUGCUAAUGUUAUGAGCGCGGGUAAACCGAGGGCUUGAAUGGAGGGCAAUCUGACGAAACGUAAGUUCAUUUAAUAACAAAUACAUCGCAAUGGAUUAUGUAUAAACCGGUGAACCGUUUUUUUCAACCGGUUUAUUGAAUCAAACCGUCCGGAAGAACCGGUUCGCGGAAAAGAAUCGAACUUCCCAUCACUAAUCCACAUUGAUAUCCAGUGAGUGAUGCGUGUGUUUCGUCUGCAAGCAUGAGAUGAUAGCCUAUAUGCUACUGCUGCCUGCCGGUGUGGUGCAGUAAAAUGACAGAAGGGGAGACAUUCAUUAAUUUAUCAUCUCAAUUUUAUGCUGGUUUUAUUGUUACACAUGACGCGGACUCGACUGUACUCGGAAUAUUUUCCGAGUCCAAAAUGUUCAAGUCCGUGUCACGUCCGAGUACAAAUUCACCCGAAUGCGUGACAAGUUCGAGUUCAUUCAAAAUUGGACUCGAGUCCAAGUUCGAGUACCCCAACUCUAG